This is a long non-coding RNA of Halichondria panicea, 691 nucleotides long. RefSeq lists it as uncharacterized. The record is from RefSeq and is a predicted model, not a curated record. The transcript has 3 exons. Lineage: Eukaryota; Metazoa; Porifera; Demospongiae; Suberitida; Halichondriidae.
GCCUCGAUCCCAGGCCGAGUUUUCGCUUUUAUAACGGUUAGGCGAACAACUAGGCCUGGUACUAGUUGUCUGCGCAUGCGUCAAUCGUUAGUCAGAUUCUGACUAAUGGAUAUUCUCGUUCACUUUUGUGACAUUUAUAUUCGUGUACUAUCGUGUACUAGAAGUCAGUUCCCGUUUUAUCAUUAUUGGAAUGGCUCUUAGCUGAAGCUUCUCUCUUCUCUGAAGCUUAGAAAACAUUAUUCUGAAGACUGAACAACAAGGGAAGAGGUAUAAAGCUUUGUCAAGCUUGUUAAGGAGCAAUGGCUAAUAUCCAGCUAUCCCAACAGUGCUCCUCUUGGCUAUACUAAUGGACGAGACUGGACAGUUUAAGGACUGGAGUAUGACCUGCUCGUUCGAGCGUUGCUGGGUAGCUCAGAGGCAUCAAGAGAAUCUACGUUUUCUCAAGCAAAGUUUAACUGAGUUACGAGUUGGGGCCUAGAAUCAGAGAAGUCCAGCAGCCUGCUAAAUCGUUGAAACGUAAUUUGAAGACAUUCAAUCAUCUUGAAGUUGCCCUGGGUCACUGUAAUCGUGCUGCAGCACAACUGGCAACUCCCCAGGCCCUUGUGAAGCAGCUCCCUAUGUGCAUAUUUUGUGUGUACUCACUCUGUGCAUUUUCUGUGUACAAAUUUCGAUUAUUGAUUUAUUAAAUGAA